This is a long non-coding RNA of Bombus pascuorum, 908 nucleotides long. RefSeq lists it as uncharacterized. The transcript is spliced from 2 exons. NCBI's taxonomy places the organism in Eukaryota, Metazoa, Arthropoda, Insecta, Hymenoptera, Apidae. The record is from RefSeq and is a predicted model, not a curated record.
CACUUGCUCUUUAGCCGCCCAGGACUUCUGUGUAUCUAGCGUUGGUCGUUCGAUUCUGCCUCUUAAUUUCUCCAACAACUUGUAUCUGAUAUCAUUCCUCGAUAGAUUUAUCACUUUCUACCAAGGUUGCGCACUACGUUUAUUCAAAUUUACUACACGUCGCUGUUUAAACUAAUUGAGAACUUGUACCGUUCCGUGUGGCGGAAAAAAUUCGAAGCGUCUCGAGGCCAUCGCUAGCCAUGUCUUCCUUUUCAUUCUCGACCCCCCUCCUGUCCGCCACGCAACACACUCUCCGUCUUUACCCGCUCUUCGUGAUGAUCCACGAUCUUUACGGAUGCCCCUUUCCCCGCCGUUCAACCGUUUCGCAAUGAUGUCAUCCACAACAUUGGCGCAGGCAACGAGAAUUUUCAAACGACGGAAAGUAGAAAAUGAAGUCUGACGCCUCGACGAUGUCGCUAUGGAACGAGUGCUUUUUAUGUAUAUUCCACAUAUGUAUAUAGAUAAACAGAUGUGCGACUAUCGUAAACGUUUCGCCUAAAAAUUGUGGCAGUUAAGGCCAGUUGGCGUACAUAACGAGUAGCGUGGAAUUUUCAUCGCUGGUGUUAUAGAACGUGCGGAUGAUGCAGCGAGGACGGAACUCGUAUUUAGCGGAUUAAGUCGAAACCCGAAGAAGACGAGCCAAGUCACUAGCCGGCAUUGUUUCGGAUUAUGUAUUUGAUGCGCGUAAAGAGCUUUAAUCCUUUACCGAAGCAGUUAACAAGAUUAUCAAGGCGAGGGUAUAAACGUUCUAGAAAUCUUUAUAACCUUUUACCAUGUUGAUACGUGAGUUACAUAAAAAAAUGUUAGCCGCAGAUUGAAUUAGAGUGGUGUGGUCUUUUAAAAGAAGCAAAUAAAGUUUUCUGAUUAUA